RNAcentral lists this long non-coding RNA (267 nucleotides) under Lathyrus oleraceus (garden pea). RNAcentral describes it as "Pisum sativum (pea) long non-coding RNA (PSAT_LNC014556)". The record is from RNAcentral. Lineage: Eukaryota; Viridiplantae; Streptophyta; Magnoliopsida; Fabales; Fabaceae.
AAUAAUUUGAGGUUGGUUUGUAGAGACUUGGGAAAAGUUCACAAGAUCGGUAUCGUUUUAACACCUUAAAUCUCCUGAAUAUGAAAAUCAUUUUGAAUACUUGUUAUGACAUAGCCUUGAGUUCUCAUUUUUCUUAUAGCUCUUGAGUAGUUUAUUUCAGCAGUCAGCAUCAUCUCACACACACUCUAUGCAGAGAAGUCGAUGAAUAUAAGUGAGUGCUCCGAAGAAAGAAAAAAAGAAAAACAAGGAAUGUACCUUCUAAGUUUG